RNAcentral lists this long non-coding RNA (308 nucleotides) under Sinocyclocheilus anshuiensis. RNAcentral's name for it is "lncRNA (ENSSANG00000029306.1)". Lineage: Eukaryota; Metazoa; Chordata; Actinopteri; Cypriniformes; Cyprinidae. The record is from RNAcentral.
CAGCAGCACGAUCACACUUCAAAACUAAAUUGGACAGCACGCUGAAACCCGCUCCAGUUCGUUACAGCUUGUACCCCAAGAACUCUGUGCGAAGCAUGGAUGAGGACUUUGAUUUUGAGCAUCGCAGAGAGUUACGGAGACAAAAGCGAGAAGAGAUGCAGCGGGAGGCAGAGAAGAUGAACUCUCACGAUGAUGAUGAGGAAGCGGCCCGGGAGCGCCGGAGACGAGCCCGUCAGGAACACCUGCGCAAUAUGGAGAAUGAGGAGUCGAAUAACACUACAACAGAAACUAACACGUAGAUCCAUCCA